This 393-nucleotide ribosomal RNA is filed under the name Triticum aestivum (bread wheat). Its description in RNAcentral is "partial small subunit ribosomal RNA". Lineage: Eukaryota; Viridiplantae; Streptophyta; Magnoliopsida; Poales; Poaceae. The record is from RNAcentral.
AUGUUAUCAGCGACUGUAGCAGUCAUGUCAUGUGAUCCAUUUGUGUUAGCCGAGCCUUCCAGAAGCCAUCCAUAUCAUGUGAUGAAUACUAUUGCCAAGCAAGUUUUACCUCAUAUUUUUCAUGAUCAAUCCAUUGCUAUUGCUAUGUUGGUGCUUAAAGAUUCAGACAUGAAUGAAGAAAGCCAGCACAGUAGCACAGUAGCAGCAAGAAUGCAAGAUGCUCAUGAGACCCAGCGAGCAUCUUCUUUUCUUUUUUCUUUUCAAUCAAUCUGUCAAUCUCCUCCUUUCCGGAGACAAAUCAGUUUGGAACUUACUACAAGUGAAAAAACGAAAGCUUUCGCGAAAAACAAAAGUGAAAAAACGAAAGAUGCAGGCCGCCAAAGAGCUCACUAA